This 384-nucleotide ribosomal RNA is filed under the name Chromobacterium sp. 24. Its description in RNAcentral is "bacterial SSU rRNA". It matches the Rfam family "Bacterial small subunit ribosomal RNA", at positions 99 to 478 of the family's 1533-position model. The record is from RNAcentral. Lineage: Bacteria; Pseudomonadati; Pseudomonadota; Betaproteobacteria; Neisseriales; Chromobacteriaceae.
CGAACGGGUGAGUAAUGCGUCGGAAUGUACCGUGUAAUGGGGGAUAGCUCGGCGAAAGCCGGAUUAAUACCGCAUACGCCCUGAGGGGGGAAAGUGGGGGACCGUAAGGCCUCACGUUAUACGAGCAGCCGACGUCUGAUUAGCUAGUUGGUGAGGUAAGAGCUCACCAAGGCGACGAUCAGUAGCGGGUCUGAGAGGAUGAUCCGCCACACUGGGACUGAGACACGGCCCAGACUCCUACGGGAGGCAGCAGUGGGGAAUUUUGGACAAUGGGCGCAAGCCUGAUCCAGCCAUGCCGCGUGUCUGAAGAAGGCCUUCGGGUUGUAAAGGACUUUUGUUCGGGAGGAAAUCCCGCUGGUUAAUACCUGGCGGGGAUGACAGUAC